GUGUAAUAGUUCUCAGUCAAUGACCUCUGUGUGCUCAGAAUCACCUGGGACAAGGCCCUCAAAUGGCAGAACCCACCUCAAAAGUUCUCUGGAGUACCUGCUGUGUUGAGCUGCAUGUUCCAGAAUGCAGAAUUCCCUCCAUUGUUUGGUUUCAGCAGGCUGGUUCUCUGCUGGAAAUCAAUGGGUGACUCAAAGCCAAGACAAAAAGCAGCCUUGUGUGAAGGUCUGGAGAAUGCUGUGUGAUACCCUGCUGCCCAAGGCACUCACACAAUCUACAGCAUCAAUUUAAGUUAACUUGAAAGAGUGCAAAGGAUAUUUUCCUCUUUAUUUUGCUCUAUGGGAGCGACUGUGUAUGUUUAAAUAACGCAUUUACUCUUUCAAAAAGAAGCUGGGCGUCCUCCAAACACAUUAAAGUGACUUUAACUGAGCA
Long non-coding RNA from Pipra filicauda (Wire-tailed manakin), 430 nucleotides. RefSeq lists it as uncharacterized. Lineage: Eukaryota; Metazoa; Chordata; Aves; Passeriformes; Pipridae. The transcript has 2 exons. The record is from RefSeq and is a predicted model, not a curated record.